RNAcentral lists this ribosomal RNA (924 nucleotides) under uncultured bacterium. RNAcentral's name for it is "bacterial SSU rRNA". It matches the Rfam family "Bacterial small subunit ribosomal RNA", at positions 1 to 916 of the family's 1533-position model. RNAcentral also lists the same sequence under 1 other name. The record is from RNAcentral.
GGAUCCAGACUUUGAUUCUGGCUCAGGAUGAACGCUAGCUACAGGCUUAACACAUGCAAGUCGAGGGGAAACGAUAGAGAAAGCUUGCUUUUUCUAGGCGUCGACCGGCGCACGGGUGAGUAACGCGUAUCCAACCUGCCCAUCACUUGGGGAUAACCUUGCGAAAGUAAGACUAAUACCCAAUGACGUCUCUAGAAGACAUCUGAAGGAGAUUAAAGAUUUAUCGGUGAUGGAUGGGGAUGCGUCUGAUUAGCUUGUUGGCGGGGUAACGGCCCACCAAGGCGACGAUCAGUAGGGGUUCUGAGAGGGAGGUCCCCCACAUUGGAACUGAGACACGGUCUAAACUCCUACGGGAGGCAGCAGUGAGGAAUAUUGGUCAAUGGACGAGAGUCUGAACCAGCCAAGUAGCGUGCAGGAAGACGGCCCUAUGGGUUGUAAACUGCUUUUAUAAGGGAAUAAAGUGAGUCUCGUGAGACUUUUUGCAUGUACCUUAUGAAUAAGGACCGGCUAAUUCCGUGCCAGCAGCCGCGGUAAUACGGAAGGUCCGGGCGUUAUCCGGAUUUAUUGGGUUUAAAGGGAGCGUAGGCCGGAGAUUAAGCGUGUUGUGAAAUGUAGACGCUCAACGUCUGCACUGCAGCGCGAGCUGGUUUCCUUGAGUACGCACAAAGUGGGCGGAAUUCGUGGCGUAGCGGUGAAAUGCUUAGAUAUCACGAAGAACUCCGAUUGCGAAGGCAGCUCACUGGAGCGCAACUGACGCUGAAGCUCGAAAGUGCGGGUAUCGAACAGGAUUAGAUACCCUGGUAGUCCGCACGGUAAACGAUGGAUGCCCGCUGUUGGUCUGAAUAGGUCAGCGGCCAAGCGAAAGCAUUAAGCAUCCCACCUGGGGAGUACGCCGGCAACGGUGCAACUCAAAUGAAUUGACGG